AGAUGCGCGCAACCGCGGGAGCAGCCAAGUGGACUCGACUCUUUUCUUGACUUAGCUACCAGGUCCGUCUCACCCAUGAAAUAAAACACAAGAAUAUUGUAACUUUUCAUGAAUGGUAUGAAACAAGCAAUCACCUCUGGCUAGUGGUGGAACUCUGCACAGGUGGUUCCUUAAAAACAGUUAUUGCUCAAGAUGAAAACCUCCCAGAAGAUGUUGUGAGAGAAUUUGGGAUUGACCUGAUUAGUGGAUUACAUCAUCUUCAUAAACUUGGCAUUCUCUUUUGUGACAUUUCUCCUAGGAAGAUACUCUUGGAAGGGCCUGGCACACUGAAGUUUAGCAACUUUUGCUUGGCAAAAGUGGAAGGUGAAAAUUUGGAAGAGUUCUUUGCUUUGGUGGCAGCAGAGGAAGGAGGAGGUGAUAGCGGGGAAAAUGUCCUGAAGAAAAGCAUGAAAAGUAGAGUCAAAGGAUCUCCUGUAUAUACAGCACCAGAAGUUGUGAGGGGUGCUGAAUUUUCCAUCUCCAGUGACCUCUGGUCUUUGGGCUGUCUGCUUUAUGAAAUGUUUU
This 564-nucleotide small RNA is filed under the name Pongo abelii (Sumatran orangutan). RNAcentral's name for it is "processed transcript". The record is from RNAcentral. Lineage: Eukaryota; Metazoa; Chordata; Mammalia; Primates; Hominidae.